This 2893-nucleotide ribosomal RNA is filed under the name Pseudomonas syringae pv. actinidiae. RNAcentral's name for it is "23S ribosomal RNA". It matches the Rfam family "Bacterial large subunit ribosomal RNA". The record is from RNAcentral. Lineage: Bacteria; Pseudomonadati; Pseudomonadota; Gammaproteobacteria; Pseudomonadales; Pseudomonadaceae.
GGUCAAGUGAAGAAGCGCAUACGGUGGAUGCCUUGGCAGUCAGAGGCGAUGAAAGACGUGGUAGCCUGCGAAAAGCUUCGGGGAGUCGGCAAACAGACUGUGAUCCGGAGAUGUCUGAAUGGGGGAACCCAGCCAUCACAAGAUGGUUAUCUUACACUGAAUACAUAGGUGUAAGAGGCGAACCAGGGGAACUGAAACAUCUAAGUACCCUGAGGAAAAGAAAUCAACCGAGAUUCCCUUAGUAGUGGCGAGCGAACGGGGACCAGCCCUUAAGUUGUAUUGAGAUUAGCGGAACGCUCUGGAAAGUGCGGCCAUAGUGGGUGAUAGCCCUGUACGCGAAAAUCCCUUUGCAAUGAAAUCGAGUAGGACGGGGCACGAGAAACCUUGUCUGAAUAUGGGGGGACCAUCCUCCAAGGCUAAAUACUACUGACUGACCGAUAGUGAACCAGUACCGUGAGGGAAAGGCGAAAAGAACCGCGGAGAGCGGAGUGAAAUAGAUCCUGAAACCGUAUGCGUACAAGCAGUGGGAGCCCACUUUGUUGGGUGACUGCGUACCUUUUGUAUAAUGGGUCAGCGACUUAUUUUCAGUGGCGAGCUUAACCGAAUAGGGGAGGCGUAGCGAAAGCGAGUCUUAAUAGGGCGUCUAGUCGCUGGGAAUAGACCCGAAACCGGGCGAUCUAUCCAUGGGCAGGUUGAAGGUUGGGUAACACUAACUGGAGGACCGAACCGACUACCGUUGAAAAGUUAGCGGAUGACCUGUGGAUCGGAGUGAAAGGCUAAUCAAGCUCGGAGAUAGCUGGUUCUCCUCGAAAGCUAUUUAGGUAGCGCCUCAUGUAUCACUGUAGGGGGUAGAGCACUGUUUCGGCUAGGGGGUCAUCCCGACUUACCAAACCGAUGCAAACUCCGAAUACCUACAAGUGCCGAGCAUGGGAGACACACGGCGGGUGCUAACGUCCGUCGUGAAAAGGGAAACAACCCAGACCGUCAGCUAAGGUCCCAAAGUCAUGGUUAAGUGGGAAACGAUGUGGGAAGGCUUAGACAGCUAGGAGGUUGGCUUAGAAGCAGCCACCCUUUAAAGAAAGCGUAAUAGCUCACUAGUCGAGUCGGCCUGCGCGGAAGAUGUAACGGGGCUCAAACCAUGCACCGAAGCUACGGGUAUCACCUUUGGUGAUGCGGUAGAGGAGCGUUCUGUAAGCCUGUGAAGGUGAGUUGAGAAGCUUGCUGGAGGUAUCAGAAGUGCGAAUGCUGACAUGAGUAACGACAAUGGGUGUGAAAAACACCCACGCCGAAAGACCAAGGUUUCCUGCGCAACGUUAAUCGACGCAGGGUUAGUCGGUCCCUAAGGCGAGGCUGAAAAGCGUAGUCGAUGGAAAACAGGUUAAUAUUCCUGUACUUCUGGUUAUUGCGAUGGAGGGACGGAGAAGGCUAGGCCAGCCUGGCGUUGGUAGUCCAGGUUUAAGGUGGUAGGCUGAGAUCUUAGGUAAAUCCGGGAUCUUAAGGCCGAGAGCUGAUGACGAGUGUUCUUUUAGAACAUGAAGUGGUUGAUGCCAUGCUUCCAAGAAAAGCUUCUAAGCUUCAGGUAACCAGGAACCGUACCCCAAACCGACACAGGUGGUUGGGUAGAGAAUACCAAGGCGCUUGAGAGAACUCGGGUGAAGGAACUAGGCAAAAUGGCACCGUAACUUCGGGAGAAGGUGCGCCGGUGAGGGUGAAGCAUUUACUGCGUAAGCCCACGCCGGUCGAAGAUACCAGGCCGCUGCGACUGUUUAUUAAAAACACAGCACUCUGCAAACACGAAAGUGGACGUAUAGGGUGUGACGCCUGCCCGGUGCCGGAAGGUUAAUUGAUGGGGUUAGCGCAAGCGAAGCUCUUGAUCGAAGCCCCGGUAAACGGCGGCCGUAACUAUAACGGUCCUAUGGUAGCGAAAUUCCUUGUCGGGUAAGUUCCGACCUGCACGAAUGGCGUAACGAUGGCGGCGCUGUCUCCACCCGAGACUCAGUGAAAUUGAAAUCGCUGUGAAGAUGCAGUGUAUCCGCGGCUAGACGGAAAGACCCCGUGAACCUUUACUAUAGCUUUGCACUGGACUUUGAAUUUGCUUGUGUAGGAUAGGUGGGAGGCUUUGAAGCGUGGACGCCAGUCUGCGUGGAGCCAACCUUGAAAUACCACCCUGGCAACUUUGAGGUUCUAACUCAGGUCCGUUAUCCGGAUCGAGGACAGUGUAUGGUGGGUAGUUUGACUGGGGCGGUCUCCUCCUAAAGAGUAACGGAGGAGUACGAAGGUGCGCUCAGACCGGUCGGAAAUCGGUCGUAGAGUAUAAAGGCAAAAGCGCGCUUGACUGCGAGACAGACACGUCGAGCAGGUACGAAAGUAGGUCUUAGUGAUCCGGUGGUUCUGUAUGGAAGGGCCAUCGCUCAACGGAUAAAAGGUACUCCGGGGAUAACAGGCUGAUACCGCCCAAGAGUUCAUAUCGACGGCGGUGUUUGGCACCUCGAUGUCGGCUCAUCACAUCCUGGGGCUGAAGCCGGUCCCAAGGGUAUGGCUGUUCGCCAUUUAAAGUGGUACGCGAGCUGGGUUUAGAACGUCGUGAGACAGUUCGGUCCCUAUCUGCCGUGGACGUUUGAGAUUUGAGAGGGGCUGCUCCUAGUACGAGAGGACCGGAGUGGACGAACCUCUGGUGUUCCGGUUGUCACGCCAGUGGCAUUGCCGGGUAGCUAUGUUCGGAAAAGAUAACCGCUGAAAGCAUCUAAGCGGGAAACUUGCCUCAAGAUGAGAUCUCACUGGAACCUAGAGUUCCCUGAAGGGCCGUCGAAGACUACGACGUUGAUAGGUUGGGUGUGUAAGCGCUGUGAGGCGUUGAGCUAACCAAUACUAAUUGCCCGUGAGGCUUGACCAU